AGAGUUUGAUCCUGGCUCAGAACGAACGCUGGCGGCAGGCUUAACACAUGCAAGUCGAACGCAUCCUUCGGGGUGAGUGGCAGACGGGUGAGUAACACGUGGGAACGUACCCUUUUGUUCGGAAUAACCCAGGGAAACUUGGGCUAAUACCGGAUACGCCCUUUUUGGGGAAAGAUUGAUCGCAGAAGGAUCGGCCCGCGUCUGAUUAGCUAGUUGGUGAGGUAAAGGCUCACCAAGGCGACGAUCAGUAGCUGGUCUGAGAGGAUGAUCAGCCACACUGGGACUGAGACACGGCCCAGACUCCUACGGGAGGCAGCAGUGGGGAAUAUUGGACAAUGGGCGCAAGCCUGAUCCAGCCAUGCCGCGUGAGUGAUGAAGGCCUUAGGGUUGUAAAGCUCUUUCGUCCGGGACGAUAAUGACGGUACCGGAAGAAGAAGCCCCGGCUAACUUCGUGCCAGCAGCCGCGGUAAUACGAAGGGGGCUAGCGUUGUUCGGAAUCACUGGGCGUAAAGGGCGCGUAGGCGGCUAUGUCAGUCGGGGGUGAAAGCCUGUGGCUCAACCACAGAAUUGCCUUCGAUACUGCAUGGCUUGAGACCGGAAGAGGUAAGUGGAACUGCGAGUGUAGAGGUGAAAUUCGUAGAUAUUCGCAAGAACACCAGUGGCGAAGGCGGCUUACUGGUCCGGUUCUGACGCUGAGGCGCGAAAGCGUGGGGAGCAAACAGGAUUAGAUACCCUAGUAGUCC
RNAcentral lists this ribosomal RNA (743 nucleotides) under uncultured bacterium. Its description in RNAcentral is "bacterial SSU rRNA". It matches the Rfam family "Bacterial small subunit ribosomal RNA", at positions 8 to 796 of the family's 1533-position model. The record is from RNAcentral.